CUUGCACAACGCAUGGUAACCGAACACUAAGGCUCCGAAUGGUGACAAAAAUCGCAACCAAAAUCGCACCGCAACAGUGUAGUAACAGUAUCAAAAUCUCUACAUAUACAUAUGUAUCUAUGUAGUUUCGUUAUUAUUUGAACCGCACCGCACUUUUCCCGCACCGCAAAACACAGUCACCAUUCGGAUCCUAAAUGUUCUUGUUUUAAAUCAACUUUCUCACAAGAGAUUGAUAGCUGAAUAGACGUAACACCGUAUCCUUGAGUAUUGGUU
This 273-nucleotide small RNA is filed under the name Arabidopsis thaliana (thale cress). RNAcentral describes it as "ATSL098730". Lineage: Eukaryota; Viridiplantae; Streptophyta; Magnoliopsida; Brassicales; Brassicaceae. The record is from RNAcentral.